GCCCACAGGGAUGAUGCUCAUGCUCAGCAAGGCACUGGGAAAAUCAGACUGUCCCCCUCUAACCUUUCCUGGUUUGUUUCACAUGGAACAGUAAAACUGCAGCAAAUGAUGCUUAAAAGACUAAUUGAAAAACUUCCAGUGAGUGACUACCAUUCCUUGCAGACUGCUUAAAAGGGUUUUCUGAAGUUUCUGUUUCCUUGGAGUAUCCAUAGGCAUAAAAUGCCAUGAGGUCCAGGUGCCCACAGGGAAAAAAAAGCCCCAUCACCAGGACAACACUGAGAAAAUUGCAAAUCUUUAUUCUAGGAGGAACAAAGGCUAGAUAGCAAUGGGCCUGUCUGUGCUUGACAGCACUGCAGACAGCCUUGGUCAGCCAAAAGCCUGUGCAUGUGCAUCUGGAGGAGGGGGAAUGAGCAGGUGUUCUUGAUCACUCAUAGCCUGGAAAUGCAUGAGCUGAGAGGAGACCAAGAGCACACAAACCCUCAGACUGCAAACCAAAUCACAAUUGGAAAUGUUAACCUUUCUUGAAACUUGAGAGUGCUCCUGGGAACAGAGAAAUGCCAGGGAUGCUCAAGAUGGAUAUUCUCAAAGCCCAGCCUCUGCCUAGAAAGGCCAGCCUUCUCCUACCCUCUGCUGCUGAUGGAGUGACUGAGUCUGCUCCAGGGUUGAUGCAGAGAUCCCAGGACUGGUAUUCUCACUUACCCUUUGGAGGACACGCCUGUCCGUAGUGACUACAGGAGGAAGCUUGGCACGAUAGAACCUUCCAAGUCUUUGUGAUCCCCUUUCUGGCAUACAUGGAGGCAAGGACUUCAAAGGGUCAGAAAAACAGGUUUAAAAAGAGAGAAUUUUCCAAUGUUAAGUGUUUUAUUUAA
This is a long non-coding RNA of Passer domesticus (house sparrow), 869 nucleotides long. RefSeq lists it as uncharacterized. The transcript has 2 exons. The record is from RefSeq and is a predicted model, not a curated record. Lineage: Eukaryota; Metazoa; Chordata; Aves; Passeriformes; Passeridae.